RNAcentral lists this ribosomal RNA (254 nucleotides) under uncultured bacterium. RNAcentral's name for it is "partial 16S ribosomal RNA". It matches the Rfam family "Bacterial small subunit ribosomal RNA", at positions 524 to 776 of the family's 1533-position model. The record is from RNAcentral.
UACGGGGGGAGCAAGCGUUGUUCGGAUUUACUGGGCGUAAAGGGCGCGUAGGCGGCCAGCACAAGUCAGUUGUGAAAUCUCCGAGCUUAACUCGGAAAGGUCAACUGAUACUGUGCGGCUAGAGUGCGGAAGGGGCAACUGGAAUUCUUGGUGUAACGGUGAAAUGCGUAGAUAUCAAGAGGAACACCUGCGGCGAAGGCGGGUUGCUGGGCCGACACUGACGCUGAUGCGCGAAAGCUAGGGGAGCGAACGGG